Molecule: ribosomal RNA, 422 nt
Filed under: Verrucomicrobiota bacterium
Lineage: Bacteria; Pseudomonadati; Verrucomicrobiota
Description: Verrucomicrobia bacterium partial 16S ribosomal RNA
Rfam family: Bacterial small subunit ribosomal RNA
Source: RNAcentral
UGGGGAAUAUUGCACAAUGGGCGAAAGCCUGAUGCAGCGACGCCGCGUGAGGGAUGGAGGCCUUCGGGUUGUAAACCUCUUUCAGUAAGGGUGAAGGCUCUCUUUUGUGGAGGGUUGACAGUACUUGCAGAAGAAGCGCCGGCUAACUACGUGCCAGCAGCCGCGGUAAUACGAAGGGCGCGAGCGUUGUCCGGAAUUAAUGGGCGUAAAGGGCUUGUAGGUGGCGUGUUGCGUCUGCUGUGAAAUUCCAGGGCUUAACUUUGGGAUUGCAGUGGGUACGGGCAUGCUAGAGUGCGGUAGGGGAGAUUGAAAUUCCUGGUGUAGCGGUGAAAUGCGCAGAUAUCAGGAGGAACACCGGUGGCGAAGGCGGGUCUCUAGGCUGUUACGGACGCUGAGGAGCGAAAGCGUGGGGAGCGAACAGG